AAUUAAAAAAAAAAAGGAAAAAAAUCGAUCCAAAUUCUCAUUUAUUCGCAGAUCUUUAACCGAUAUGACAGAAGGAUGGAGUGACGGCUAGGAUGACAGAAACCCUAUGGGCUCAUCCUGGGAGUCUUUGCCAUCUGUGACGCCUUCACAACAACCACCUGCAGCAACAAUUCGGCAAAUAGAUCUGGCCAUCAUCAGGCAAGCCGUCGACCGUGGGAAACAGAUCAAUACAGAAAACUCGAGUGAUUUAAAAGUGGCCAUACUGCUACCUGCUGGAAUGAGUAUGCCCAGGUGUAUUCAAGUGCAGUUGGCU
RNAcentral lists this long non-coding RNA (313 nucleotides) under Androctonus crassicauda. The record is from RNAcentral. Lineage: Eukaryota; Metazoa; Arthropoda; Arachnida; Scorpiones; Buthidae.